This 253-nucleotide ribosomal RNA is filed under the name uncultured bacterium. RNAcentral's name for it is "partial 16S ribosomal RNA". It matches the Rfam family "Bacterial small subunit ribosomal RNA", at positions 524 to 776 of the family's 1533-position model. The record is from RNAcentral.
UACGGAAGGGGCUAGCGUUGUUCGGAAUUACUGGGCGUAAAGAGCGCGUAGGCGGCUUACCAAGUUGGGGGUGAAAUCCCGGAGCUCAACUCCGGAACUGCCUUCAAAACUGGUAGGCUCGAGUCCGGAAGAGGGGCGUGGAAUUCCCAGUGUAGAGGUGAAAUUCGUAGAUAUUGGGAAGAACACCGGUGGCGAAGGCGGCGCCCUGGUCCGGUACUGACGCUGAGGCGCGAAAGCGUGGGGAGCAAACAGG